This 465-nucleotide ribosomal RNA is filed under the name uncultured bacterium. RNAcentral's name for it is "partial 16S ribosomal RNA". It matches the Rfam family "Bacterial small subunit ribosomal RNA", at positions 338 to 795 of the family's 1533-position model. The record is from RNAcentral.
CCUACGGGUGGCAGCAGUGGGGAAUAUUGGGCAAUGGGCGCAAGCCUGACCCAGCAACGCCGCGUGAGGGAUGAAGGUCUUCGGAUCGUAAACCUCUGUCAGCAGGGAAGAACGGUCACUGUGCUAAUCAGCAGUGCAUUGACGGUACCUGCAAAGGAAGCACCGGCUAACUCCGUGCCAGCAGCCGCGGUAAUACGGAGGGUGCGAGCGUUAAUCGGAAUUACUGGGCGUAAAGCGCUCGUAGGCGGUAUGUCAAGUCAAGGGUGAAAUCCCCGCGCUCAACGUGGGAACGGCAUUUGAAACUGACAAACUGGAGUGUGGGAGAGGAUAGUGGAAUUCCAGGUGUAGGAGUGAAAUGCGUAGAUAUCUGGAGGAACAUCAGUGGCGAAGGCGACUAUCUGGCACAUAACUGACGCUGAGGAGCGAAAGCGUGGGUAGCAAACAGGAUUAGAUACCCCUGUAGUC